UGUCUGUUCCAAGAAAUGGCAGCGUUUUUUCUGUGCCUGUGGGUGCUCUCCACACUUAAAAAUAAGGCAAGAUCCUUUACCCCACACCAGCUCGGCUUGGUAGAUAGUCUGUUUCUCGUUUUAUGGAAGACAAGCCUGAGGAUCAGAGAGUCGAGUCAGUGUGGAAUGCGCAGCCACACCUACAGGAGAGCUGAGGAACUGGUGUAGGAGCCAGGGAGAGCAGAGGCUCAGCUGAGGUGAGGAGGGAACUGGAGGAGCCUGGCAGGCGAAUGCUGUCAUCCCAGCACUGGGGAGACUGAGACAGGCCUUUGAGACCAGGCAAGCCCGAGCUAUAUAACAGGAUCUUGUCUCAAUACUAAGGACAACAAGACAGGAAACAAUAAUGUCGGGGCUGCACUGUGUGGUGAACCCACCUUUAGUCCCGGCCCUCAAGAGUUAUAAAGUGAGAAUUUGUAUUAAAAAACAAAAACAAAGAAAAAAGACACCUCUCCAAACCAACGAGCCAAAACACCACACAGGGGUGAAAGAACACAUGGGCAGGAUGGGCGGGAUGUUUAUGCUGGGGGGAAAGGGGAAUUACUGGAAGCUUCUAGAGCCAGAACCGAAUGGAAACAAAACAGACAACCUGGAGUGCAAAGGCUACAGGAAAGGCAGGCACAGCCUGAGCAGCACAAAGUGCUACAAAAUGAAGUAGGGUUUCAUCUUUUGGCUUUAUUACUAGAGUGAAAGGCCUGCACCACCAUGCCUGACUUUCAAGACAACCUUUAUGAUACCCAG
Non-coding RNA from Rattus norvegicus (Norway rat), 777 nucleotides. Lineage: Eukaryota; Metazoa; Chordata; Mammalia; Rodentia; Muridae. The record is from RefSeq and is a predicted model, not a curated record.